Molecule: ribosomal RNA, 467 nt
Filed under: uncultured bacterium
Lineage: Bacteria
Description: partial 16S ribosomal RNA
Rfam family: Bacterial small subunit ribosomal RNA
Source: RNAcentral
GACGAACGCUGGCGGCGUGCUUAACACAUGCAAGUCGAACGAUGACGACCGAGCUUGCUCGGUCUGAUUAGUGGCGAACGGGUGAGUAACACGUGAGCAACCUGCCCUUCACUCUGGGAUAACCUCGGGAAAUCGGGGCUAAUACCGGAUAUGAGCUCCUGUCGCAUGGCGGGUGUUGGAAAGUUUUUCGGUGAAGGAUGGGCUCGCGGCCUAUCAGUUUGUUGGUGAGGUAGUGGCUCACCAAGGCGAUGACGGGUAGCCGGCCUGAGAGGGCGACCGGCCACACUGGGACUGAGACACGGCCCAGACUCCUACGGGAGGCAGCAGUGGGGAAUAUUGCACAAUGGGCGAAAGCCUGAUGCAGCGACGCCGCGUGAGGGAUGACGGCCUUCGGGUUGUAAACCUCUUUCAGCAGGGAAGAAGCGAAAGUGACGGCACCUGCAGAAGAAGCGCCGGCUAACUACGUG